RNAcentral lists this ribosomal RNA (515 nucleotides) under uncultured bacterium. RNAcentral describes it as "partial 16S ribosomal RNA". It matches the Rfam family "Bacterial small subunit ribosomal RNA", at positions 28 to 523 of the family's 1533-position model. The record is from RNAcentral.
GAUGAACGCUGGCGGCGUGCCUAAUACAUCCAAGUCGAGCGAAUGGAUUAAGAGCUUGCUCUUAUGAAGUUAGCGGCGGACGGGUGAGUAACACGUGGGUAACCUGCCCAUAAGACUGGGAUAACUCCGGGAAACCGGGGCUAAUGCCGGAUAACAUUUUGAACCGCAUGGUUCGAAAUUGAAAGGCGGCUUCGGCUGUCACUUAUGGAUGGACCCGCGUCGCAUUAGCUAGUUGGUGAGGUAACGGCUCACCAAGGCAACGAUGCGUAGCCGACCUGAGAGGGUGAGCGGCCACACUGGGACUGAGACACGGCCCAGACUCCUACGGGAGGCAGCAGUAGGGAAUCUUCCGCAAUGGACGAAAGUCUGACGGAGCAACGCCGCGUGAGUGAUGAAGGCUUUCGGGUCGUAAAACUCUGUUGUUAGGGAAGAACAAGUGCUAGUUGAAUAAGCUGGCACCUUGACGGUACCUAACCAGAAAGCCACGGCUAACUACGUGCCAGCCGCCGCUGUAA